GUAGAAGUCUGUAGAGGUCUGUAGAGGGUAGAAGUCUGUAGACGUCUGUAGAGGGUAGAAGUCUGUAGACGUCUGUAGAGGGUAGAAGUCUGUAGACGUCUGUAGAGGGUAGAAGUCUGUAGACGUCUCUAGAGGGUAGAGGUCUGUAGACGUCUCUAGAGGGUAGAGGUCUGUAGACGUCUGUAGAGGGUAGAGGUCUGUAGACGUCUCUAGAGGGUAGAAGUCUGUAGACGUCUCUAGAGGGUAGAAGUCUGUAGACGUCUCUAGAGGGUAGAAGUCUGUAGACGUCUCUAGAGGGUAGAAGUCUGUAGACGUCUGUAGAGGGUAGAAGUCUGUAGACGUCUCUAGAGGGUAGAAGUCUGUAGACGUCUCUAGAGGGUAGAAGUCUGUAGAGGGUAGAAGUCUGUAGAAGUCUGUAGAGGGUAGAAGUCUGUCUGAGGGUAGAAGUCUGUAGACGUCUCUAGAGGGUAGAAGUCUGUAGACGUCUCUAGAGGGUAGAAGUCUGUAGAGGGUAGAAGUCUGUAGAGGGUAGAAGUCUGUAGAAGUCUGUAGAGGGUAGAAGUCU
Molecule: long non-coding RNA, 565 nt
Organism: Oncorhynchus tshawytscha (Chinook salmon)
Lineage: Eukaryota; Metazoa; Chordata; Actinopteri; Salmoniformes; Salmonidae
Exons: 4
Source: RefSeq, a predicted model, not a curated record